Molecule: long non-coding RNA, 443 nt
Filed under: Dromaius novaehollandiae (emu)
Lineage: Eukaryota; Metazoa; Chordata; Aves; Casuariiformes; Dromaiidae
Description: lncRNA (ENSDNVG00000010185.1)
Source: RNAcentral
AUGGCAAAGAAUGCAAUGGCAAUUGUGACCCAGGCUGUUGAUAACAGAGCAACAAACUCAGCCAGACAAGAAGCAUUACCAGAAGCUAGAGGAAAUCGGACAAAGAGAAGAAGCAAAGCUGAACAGUGAAGGGGCAUCUGGGAAAUUAUAGAACAAAAGAACGCACUAUGGAAAGAAAAAAACCUCUAGACGUACAUGUAUGGUAGAUAAAGUGUCAACUGAAGUGACACUGAAAAGGUUAGCUCAGCUCUUCUGAAAUGAUUUGUUCUUUUCCUAUCUCUGGUUUGAUCAGUCCACUCUUUUGCAAACACUUAAAAUAUAUAUUAAAAGAAAGGGUUCUUUGUGUGAAGAUAGGAAGUACAUGUAAGUGUUAAUGUGGAUUCUUUGAGCUUUACCAACACGGGAAAGUCUGAAGACAUUCUUUACCAUCAGUAAGACUUUUG